GUUUCGGUGGUCAUAGCGUGAGGGAAACGCCCGGUUACAUUCCGAACCCGGAAGCUAAGCCUCAGAGCGCCCAUGGUACUGCAGG
RNAcentral lists this ribosomal RNA (85 nucleotides) under Streptomyces nodosus. The record is from RNAcentral. Lineage: Bacteria; Bacillati; Actinomycetota; Actinomycetes; Kitasatosporales; Streptomycetaceae.